AGUAAUAAAGAUAUUCAGAAAUAAAGAAGAAGAAGAAGAGAGAGUAAAGAUAAAGACUAAAGUGCAGGUAGUGUGUGUGUGAGAGAGAGAGAGAGAGAGAGGUGGCUCCGGCAAACAGUCCCCCCUUGCAACUGUGUAGGUGUUGUGUAUGUGUAUGUGUAUGUGUAAAGAGAGUCGCGACAUUAUCGUGAAAACCAGCGAUCCCACAUAUGUAGCGGAGAAUAGGCCUUAGCCACGAAGGCAGUCAAACUCAUCUCAUCACUCUCUAAUCUCUAAUUAAUAAUCACAUCAGAGUAUCUGCGUAUUUCGUGGUGGGCGUGUCUUUUGGUUUUGGAUUUCCCCUCCAACCCACCUCUUAGCUACCAAAAACAACACAUAAUCCUUUCAUUUCUCAAUUCUUGGCAGCUUUUGGAGAUCGGUUUUGCACUUUUCCCCCUAUCCACUGAGGUACAUUUUAUCGGUAUUUCUUUUGGAUUGGUGGGGAAAGGAAACAGAAGGGACUGUGUUACAGGAGAUCGUAGCAGAAUCGGGUGGGUUUUUUUCCAAAAUCCAAAUGCACAAAAAGAGACACACGGAUUGUAUUUUGUAUUUGUAUUUGUUUGUGUAGUAGUGUUGUGCAUUACUAUUUAUCAAUAAUGCAAAGCAAAAUGUACACAACGAAACCAUUACCUCAACAGCAGCUUUCCGACUCCAAUAGACGUAUCAUCGAUCCCAAUGGACCCUCCCCUCUUGUUUAUCAAGUUUGGAAAGGAAACAAUAGAUUUUGCCUCGGAGGCAGGCUUGUAUUUGGUCCAGAUUUGAGGUCGAUUUUCCUUACAGUGUUUCUCAUCGUGAUGCCAGUAAUUCUGUUUUGUUCUUUUGUUUCUCCGAAGCUAGUUAAUGAAUUCCCUCACUCCGUAGCCAAUCUUAUUAUAGCUAUAUGUGUUCUCUUCACAGGAUAUGUUAUAAUUCUUCUCUUCCUUACGUCUGGAAGAGAUCCUGGUAUCAUUCCUCGUAACUCACAUCCUCCAGAACCUGAAGAUGAGGGUGAUGGCUCAAGUAUUUCUGCUGAUUGGCCUGGAAAUCAGAAUGGUGCUCCUAGUUUACCACCCAUAAAAGAAGUUGUGGUUAAUGGCAUAGUUGUUAAGGUCAAAUAUUGUCAAACUUGCAUGCUAUAUCGCCCACCACGAUGCUCUCAUUGUUCUAUUUGCAAUAACUGUGUUGAGCGUUUUGAUCACCAUUGCCCAUGGGUGGGACAGUGUAUUGGGAAGAGGAAUUACAGAUUCUUCUUCAUGUUUGUGUCCUCCACAACCAUGCUUUGCCUAUAUGUUUUUGCCUUCUGCUGGGUCAACAUUAGGAAAAUAAUGGAUGCUCAUGAUUGUAAUCUCUGGAGGGCUUUCCUGAAGUGCCCUGUUUCGGGAAUUCUGAUUUUAUACACAUUUGUAGCUGCUUGGUUUGUUGGAGGUCUUACAGCAUUUCAUCUCUAUUUAAUUUUCACCAAUCAGACAACAUAUGAGAAUUUCCGGUACCGGUAUGAUGGGAAGAUGAAUCCUUAUAACCGUGGGUGUGCUCUCAAUAUUGUGGACAUCUUCUUUUCUAAAAUUCCCAGUUCUAGGAACAACUUCAGGGCAAAGGUUAAAGGGGAUUCAUCUUCUGUGUUCACCACUUCAAUGCCAUUGGGCCAUGCCAUGAGCCCGGAAAUUCCCAAGAGAAGCUUUGACAUAGAGACUGGAAAAAGGCAAGCUGUUGCUGCUGAAGAUUUUGAAGAUAUACAGAGUCAGAUGGAAAGUGUUGGUGGAUUGGAGAGGUGUGGUGCCCAGCCAAGACGCACAAACUGGGAUCAUAAACUGAACUGGGAGAUGUCUCCUGAUAUACGAAUGUUGGCUGGUGAGUUUGAAAUGGAACGUGGUUUUACAGAAAGACAGAAAAUUAAUGGAGGCCUAUGAAGUUCUUUCUAUGGCCUAAACUAUUGUGGUAAGGGUAAAAUUCUGAUCUUAGAGCCAAGAUAAAAUUGCUAACCUGGCUGGUUGAAAUUGGUUACUGAAGUCGUGCUGAACUUGAAGAAAAGUCUGCCUUCGGAAGGAUGUUUCACCAAUCACCAUGCUAUUUUAUUCUUAUAGGAAGAAAUACACUAGUUCGGUUAAAAUAUGAAGAGGCACUUGUUGUACAUCAAACUGCUUUCAUGGAUACUUGGGGCGGCAGUGCAGGGCCUGGGCCUGUGGGGCUUUGUUUUUAGCUUUUUGUGUUUCCUCUUUUCUCCUUUCUGCUUUUGCUUUCUUCUCUUUCGAGGUCUGGGAGGCCUGAACCCAUGAUUAAAGACAUUUGGAUGUUAACUUUGGCAAUCGGUUGGUUGACCUGUAGAGAAAAUUGGACUGGUCAUGGUUGGUAGGACUGAUUUUAUGUUAACCUUACGUGAUUCUGAUUAUGUUAAAGUGACUGCACAUUCCUAGUUUAGGGGAGGUUGAAACCUUUGCUUGGAAUUGGAUAAAAAAAAUGUCCUCCCAAGUAGUUAGCGCUUAUGAAUAACAGGUUGCAUGGAAAUGAAUCCCAGAAGACUUGGUUGUGAAUUUGUACCAUGGCAUGCUUUGAAGUAAUCUGCCGAACUCUUAACCAAAUGAGCCUAAAUGUUGUAGCAUGUAAUCUUAAUUGUUUAUUAUUAGUUGCAAUAAAGGGUUGUGGGGAUUUUGUUACAA
RNA transcript from Quercus robur (English oak), 2672 nucleotides. It is a transcript of the gene named probable protein S-acyltransferase 6, with no coding region annotated. The transcript has 7 exons. The record is from RefSeq and is a predicted model, not a curated record. Lineage: Eukaryota; Viridiplantae; Streptophyta; Magnoliopsida; Fagales; Fagaceae.